UAAUCCCUCUGGGUAGUGGUGUUUACGCCACUGCCUGGGCCUUUGGCGUGGGGGAAAUGUCCGCGGUGCUUUAACACCAGGAGUUUCUGUCCGCGGUGCUUUGGCACCAGGAGUUUCUGUCCGCGGUGCUUUAGCACCAGGAGUUUCCCACCCGCUUAAAUACGGAGAAAGCUAGCCGGCGAUGCCCCAAUGCAACGACUUGUAUGUCCAGCGUCGUAAUGCUUCUGGAGCUCCCGGCCUCUGAACAAUAGAGACCCUCAGGUCCCAGAU
This 270-nucleotide unclassified non-coding RNA is filed under the name uncultured Dactylella. RNAcentral describes it as "sequence contains ITS2". Lineage: Eukaryota; Fungi; Ascomycota; Orbiliomycetes; Orbiliales; Orbiliaceae. The record is from RNAcentral.